AUUAGUUUAAAAAUGAUAAGGGAGCAUAACAGCCAAAGGUGGCAAAAGGAGAAGACAGACCACAUAUUUCGAGAUCACCAGUUAAUUCAGCGCUACGUUAUUCACGUGAUAUCAAGAAAUCUGCAUUGAUUAACAUCAGCACUACAUCUUGAGCAUACAGAGGACAAGAGUAGCUGACAUCAAACUGCCCUACAGUUUCCAUUGCUUGCCAGGGCACAAGGGUGCCAGCUGACCACGCGCAGCUGGAUAAUAGCAGGGACAGGCCUUGUGGAGCUUCCGCAGUCCAGGCAGCUGUGGCUGGCCUCAGCUCUGCACGUCAAGCCACCUGCGGGGCACAGCACGGUUUCUCGCAGUGGGUGGUGGUCGCCCCAUCAGUCUCCCCCAGACUGGUGGCUCUCAGAUGCCCUCCCUCCUGCUGGUGCGUGCCUCACCGUGUGCCACUCACGCACAGACAGAUGUACUGCCAUCCUUUGGGAGAGGAGGCUGCAGGGGACAGCAGAUUUGGUCAGUGACUUACCUCCACAGCAAAUUAUAGCAGCCACAAAAAGGGAGAUAUCACUGUCAUCCAGCUCCAGCGCGUUGAACUUCAUUGCAAAAUCAAACUUAGGUUCCAUGAUAUCACAAAACGGUUUCCUUAGGCUCUUCAGGAAUUCACGCGUUAUAAAACCGUUUCCAUAUGCUACCAGCAUUCCAUCUUUAUUCAUCACAGAAGACAGCAUGGCAAAUAUGGCCUCAUAAACUCCGUAUUUCAGCAAAGUGACCUGAUCGUUUAAGUCCAAGUUGGCAAAGCCUGGGAUGGACUUGGCAAACUCAGUGAGCUCGGUGACGGUCUCCACAGACGUACACUGGCAGCAGUGGAAGAUGCGGACUUCCGCCUCCUUGUUCUGGAUGCCGUUGGCCACCAACUUGGCCACCAGAGUCUUCUCGGCCAUACACAAUGUCUCCAUGUCAUGUAUGACAAAGGGCUGCAACGAAAGACACGGAAAUGAGCCAGGUCGCCGGGGACAGGCUGUCCUCUUAAUUAUCAAAGAACUGAUGAGCAGCCAGUGUCUGCAGAUCACCUGCGGAGAAGCGCGAUAUGAACAAAAUGCUGUCUUCGUCCUUAAAUAACCUCAAAGUUGGCUGGGGACACAAAGACAUUUAUGGAGAACUAGCGAUAUAAAUCUGUAAGAGUCAUUAUGAUGCCUGGUUGCUAGGAGCUCUGAGGUAGAGCGAGCCCAGAAGAUAGGAGUUGCCGACACGCUGCCUCCAUCCGCUGUCUCUGGGACCGACACCGUCUUCCCAACACCCAACCUUGGUCCCCUCAGCCCCUCCCUGCGGCCAGGGGCCACCUCAGGCGGGAGAGCAAGCAGCAGCCAGGCCACCUACCGGGUUGUUGCUGGCCUUCCCUGCCAGGAUGACCCGGGCCUUGACCUUGUUCAUGUUGAAGUUCUUGAGGUAGGCCUCAUAAAUUCUCUUGGCGAGGGACUUCAGAUCUGCCGUUUCUGCAUCUUCUGGGUCAUGUUCGCAGGUGAGAAUUUCCGCUUUCAGUUUUGCUUUUUCAGAUCUUGGCAUUCGUCCAAAGCGAAUUGCUGGGGGGCAGGGAGGGGGGCCACGGGAGAGAACGGGAAGCGAGCAGAGGUGAGCAUCAGGGUGCACGAUAGGGGGACGGGCCUCUGGGCAGAGAACGUGUGCCGAGAAUUCAACCACGAACCAAAGCCGCCCCGUCAGGACAGUCAACAUUGUACUGCUCUCUCUAUUCUGGAGAGAGGAAAAUGAAACACAACCCUCCAUAAACUCUGGACUUCUUCAAGAGGCUAAAAGACAAGGCGACACCCUCACUUGUUUCGUCAGUAGGAUCAGCUGAAGGUUCAAAAUUGUCCUUUAGGACAAUUGUCCUAAUUGACCUAAUUAUCAUGAGGUCCAAACUUGAACCGAGUUUGAGGAGAUGGCAGUGACCCCUAGGGUGACUUCAUGUGACACCUUUUUCUUUGUCCAGAAGGUAGACCUGCGACCACUGGGAACUAGUCAUUUUAGAUCUACUGGCACGUUCUAAAAUGACAGCAGGGUUCAGAAUAACAAUAUUUGCCGCACACGUGCUUUGUGGGGAUGCUGCUUCCACGCUGGCAUCCCAGAGGGAUUUCCAUUCGGUCUGAAAACCUUCAGUCAAAGGCUUACCGUGUGAAGUGUCUAAGAGGAAUUCCGGGAGCUCUGUUGCGUCUCAGCUACGUGACACUUCCCCCUUCUUAGGCUAUCUGGGUUGCAAAACGAUCUGGGCACUACGUGCAUUCAUUCAAAACACAAUCCGUGGCGACCAGACAAGGGAGGUGGGCUGAGGCACGGGCUGCAGAAGCGCCCUAGACAACCUUACCUACCGUUAUGGGACAUCCCGACCGAAAGGCACUUGUGGAAACGACAGUAUUGGCACUUAUUCCGGUUCUUUUUCUGAAUCUUGCAGCUGCGGUCACAUCUGUCAUAGGCCAGCUUCAGCCGAAUGGUUCGCCGGAAGAAACCCUGUGGGAUGGACGUAAGGUUGGGGAGGGGUGUUUCUGGCCAUUCAUUUACUGUACUUUUCAAAUGAACUGAAAUUAGUAAAAUUGUUCUAAGAAGUCUGACUUAAUCGGGACAAACUGAAAAA
Mustela lutreola (European mink) is the source of this 2617-nucleotide long non-coding RNA. RefSeq lists it as uncharacterized. The record is from RefSeq and is a predicted model, not a curated record. The transcript is spliced from 4 exons. Lineage: Eukaryota; Metazoa; Chordata; Mammalia; Carnivora; Mustelidae.